Molecule: non-coding RNA, 248 nt
Organism: Pelobates cultripes (western spadefoot toad)
Lineage: Eukaryota; Metazoa; Chordata; Amphibia; Anura; Pelobatidae
Source: the annotation of a GenBank genome assembly
CCCGGUUCCCUACAACACGAGUCGAGGCUGCGAGUUGAGGAUAAAACGAACUGGCUUUAAUGGCACACAGGCAUCACUAUUUAUGCAAAACCCCAGGUCCAGGGACAACCCCCUCUGGACCUGAUGGGAUACAGUGACAAUACGAGCAGUUGACCAAUAGUAAUACAAUGUAUCCUUUUAAAUUGUUACCACCCAGCUUGGAGAUAAUGAGUCCAAUGGUUGGGACAAUGUAAUUAUCUCCAAGCGCC